Molecule: non-coding RNA, 237 nt
Organism: Pelobates cultripes (western spadefoot toad)
Lineage: Eukaryota; Metazoa; Chordata; Amphibia; Anura; Pelobatidae
Source: the annotation of a GenBank genome assembly
GUUUAUAGAAAAAAAAAGUCACAACAAAAAAUUCAGCUUGCUUCCUUCAACUUCGGGCAAAUACAUUUUUAUUUGCCUGAAGCACAAGGAAGCAAGAUGAAUUGUAAGUGUAGGAUCCACUUAAGAGAUUUGCCUUGACGUGGCAGGUGGACUUACAUCUAAUGCCCACUGGUGUUACUAAAUAACCUCCAUUUAUUUAAGUAUCCAUAGGGAUUUGGGCUGGUGCGCAGGUAACUC